Molecule: long non-coding RNA, 970 nt
Filed under: Homo sapiens (human)
Lineage: Eukaryota; Metazoa; Chordata; Mammalia; Primates; Hominidae
Description: non-protein coding lnc-ATF3-1:7
Source: RNAcentral
AAAGGGACCAGGCCUGGGAUCGUGAAACAUCUGGGGAAACGACUCCACUCACUCACCUGCAGACUGAGAGCCCAUCUUGUACCGUGUUAUACUUUAAGAGAGUUGACUGUUGAGAUGAUGAUGAAAACGGAAGAACAACUGAGCCUAGUUGGAGGCUCUUUGAAGUCCCAGAACCUCCUCCUGGAAGCCCUCUUUGGUUAACCAGAUGGACAUCUCAGUUGCCCUCUGAGCCUGAACCAAGUGUCAGGAAGAGUUUUCUAUGGCCCUUGACUCCUUAACUCUUUGCUUAUAGCGUCUCUGCUCUCUGAUGCCUCUGCUGUCAGAGAAAGGCUGUGGUUUAAAUAUUUAUUUAUGAAUCCAUCAGCUUGGGCCAACUAGGUCCAUUUAUCACCGUUUUGACUGUGUCUAAACUGUCAUUAGUGGUGUGACUAGAAACCAGUUAAUUUCGCUGGGUGGUAAAUUCGUGGACUGAUCUCCAAACCCUCCUACUGUGCUAAUGUUGCCAAUGGAAGUUUCCAGAGGCCAGGAUCCCUGGCCAACACGUGAUCGUAAACAACAUCAGGGCCUCACAGGGAACUCACAAUUUACUGAGGUUUGCUCUGUGCCAGGUGUUUUCAUGAUCCUCCAUCCCCUUGUCGUUUAGUCCUCUUCUCUGAGUCCUCCCCAUUUUACUGAUGAGGACGGAAAUCGAGGCACACGAUUAAGCGUUUCCCUGGGUCACACAGCUAAUGAAUGGCGAGCUGGAAGUCAGUCCCAGGUCAUCAGACUCCGAAGUCCAUGGUUUUGGUGAUGAAGGUGGGCUGUGAAAUGUGUGUCUUAUUCUAUGCAUGUGAGUCCGCUGGAACCAACUUUUCCACUUGGAACACAAUCUCAGUGCCUUUCAGCAGGUAACCGGCGCCAGACCAGAUCUCCAGAGAUGGAGGUGGUCGGCCUCAGGGCCCAGCCAUGAGAAGGUGUAUGAGGAGGCAUC